GAUGAUUGGAAUUGAUAAAAUUAUGCCUUGUCUAUAUACUACUCCUCGGAAAAAGCUAAUGUUGAGGUAGAUACACCGAGCUGAAAAGUUUCUGGUAGCAUUGCUACUCUACUCACAUCCGGAAAAAAGCUAAUGUUGUGGUAGAUGCAGUGAUCAGAAAAGGUGUUAGUGAUACAGGAAAGGUUGAGGACAAUGUUUAGUAGGCAGAAGAGUACGCAGAUGUCAGGAGGAGAGAUGUGCAGUUUAGCACGGGGGAUCAUGUGUUCCUAAAAAUCUCUUCUAUGAAAGGGGUAAUGAGGUUUGGAAAAAGAGGCAAGCUUAGUCCCCGAUACAUUGGCCCCUUUG
RNAcentral lists this long non-coding RNA (345 nucleotides) under Phoenix dactylifera (date palm). RNAcentral's name for it is "long non-coding RNA (PDAC_LNC019357)". Lineage: Eukaryota; Viridiplantae; Streptophyta; Magnoliopsida; Arecales; Arecaceae. The record is from RNAcentral.